RNAcentral lists this transfer RNA (87 nucleotides) under Pseudomonadota bacterium. RNAcentral describes it as "Proteobacteria bacterium (groundwater metagenome) tRNA-Leu". It matches the Rfam family "tRNA". From Rfam's summary of the family: Transfer RNA (tRNA) molecules are approximately 80 nucleotides in length. Their secondary structure includes four short double-helical elements and three loops (D, anti-codon, and T loops). Lineage: Bacteria; Pseudomonadati; Pseudomonadota. RNAcentral also lists the same sequence under 1 other name. The record is from RNAcentral.
GCCGAAGUGGCGGAACUGGUAGACGCGCUAGGUUCAGGGUCUAGUACCCUUAUGGGUGUGGGAGUUCGAGUCUCCCCUUCGGCACCA